GGGAAAAGCAAGAUGUUCAAGCUUGGAAACUGUGUUCUAAGUUGUGAAGGACUCCAGAAGGCUUGGGGCUCAGUAUGAAGAGGACGGGUUUUCAUUAAUGAUAUUCUGCCAAGCCCAACCGACAUACGGAAAUGUUUUAUAUCUUCAGGAUAAAUAGUUUGGCCGAACCAAAUUUUCUCACCAUGCAUAAAUCGAAG
Long non-coding RNA from Pelobates fuscus (common spadefoot toad), 197 nucleotides. RefSeq lists it as uncharacterized. The transcript has 2 exons. Lineage: Eukaryota; Metazoa; Chordata; Amphibia; Anura; Pelobatidae. The record is from RefSeq and is a predicted model, not a curated record.